RNAcentral lists this long non-coding RNA (696 nucleotides) under Bos taurus (domestic cattle). RNAcentral's name for it is "long non-coding RNA NONBTAT008290". Lineage: Eukaryota; Metazoa; Chordata; Mammalia; Artiodactyla; Bovidae. The record is from RNAcentral.
CUUAAAGAAAGAAUUUUCUGAUGAAAUACCAGUAAGAACAGAUGGUGGGUACGUAGCUCAGCAAUAAAUAAGAUUAAUAUAUUCAGAGCUCUUGAGAUUCUGAAGACAGGGGAAGAAAGUUUAGCCUGUCAAGAGGGAGCAACCACUGCCUACCUGAACCCAGCUUGACUUGGGCUUUGGAAAAAACCCAUUUCUGAUCAACAUGCCUAGAAAAUUGAGCUUCACCUGUGUUUGAAAUUCUUUGUUCACGUACGGUUUCUGCCUGUGUUUCAAGAACAUCCACUUGAGACCUUUCGGGGGACCCGCAGGUGUUGGGUGGCACCAGUCAGGCUGAUGGUAAAAUGUGAGUUAAAGAUCUUGAAGAAAACUGAAAGUUCUCACUUGAUAAAAUUGCAGUGCAUUUCUAGAAAUUUCUGUUGGAAGGUAAAAGUUAAACACCGAAGAGAGUAACAUGUGAAGCGAAUUAUCUUUUAGGAAUAAUCACUAUUGGGUAUUUGAUUAGAACCAAGAAAUCAUAAACUUGGUUUGCACUUUGGAAGUGGGUAUCUUAAAAAUUCUGUGAUUUUCCUGUCAUUUUUUUUCUAUCAAACAUCUUGGUUAGCUGAAACUUAUUAAUCCAUAAAUAAUAUAAGUUUUAGUCAUUUUUUUCUGUUAGAAAUAUAGCAUCACUUGAUUUUAAAUUAGGGGUAAUUUUUU